RNAcentral lists this unclassified non-coding RNA (301 nucleotides) under Glomus sp. RNAcentral's name for it is "partial contains 5.8S ribosomal RNA, internal transcribed spacer 2, and large subunit ribosomal RNA". Lineage: Eukaryota; Fungi; Glomeromycota; Glomeromycetes; Glomerales; Glomeraceae. The record is from RNAcentral.
GGGAAGAAGAAAAGGGGGGAAAGAAAAGGGAAAGAGAGGUUAUUCCGGAGAGUAUGCCUGUUUGAGGGUCAGUUUAAAUAAAAAUCGGUGUGGUUGCUGCCUUUCGUGGUGACGCACCGGAUGUGGGUCGUCUUGCCUUCGGUUAAGUGACCUAAAAUUUUGCAUGAUUUUUUCGAACGUAUUUAAAUGAUUUUACGUACGUUUGCGAUAUCGAAUACUAGGUGCGGUCAUCCGCAUGAUACAACCCUACAAUUUCUCAUCACAAGUAACUCAAAUCAGGUAAGAGUACCCGCUGAACUUA